Molecule: non-coding RNA, 559 nt
Organism: Callorhinus ursinus (northern fur seal)
Lineage: Eukaryota; Metazoa; Chordata; Mammalia; Carnivora; Otariidae
Source: RefSeq, a predicted model, not a curated record
AGCUCCUAUCAUGUGCCUGAAGGAGGCAGGUUCUGAGGAUCUGUGUCUGGAUGGCUUCUACUCCAGCAGUCUUCAGGAGAGCCCAUCACCUUACAUCCCUGGUGGGAUAUGGUACCUGGCUGAACUAUUGCACUAUAAUGAAUUACUGGGAUCUUGAGUUGGGGAGAGAAGAGGAAGAAGCUUAUAUGAAUGUGGCCGGCCCCAUUGAUCUCCAGAAAGGAAACAGUACAGAAUAAGAGAGUAUGAAGAUGGGGUUACAACAAAACUGACUGGGAACAGAAGACCUGCAUCCAAAAUAUCAGAUAAAUUCUUGCCUACAGGACCAUGGGUAGUCACUUCCUCUUUGCCGACCUCAGCCCUGACACAGAAAAAGAUUAUAUGUCCCAGUGGAUAGGAACACGGGCUUUGUGGAGUGUGAUGUAAGCUUGGGCAUGUUUCACUGCUGGUUUCGUGAUCUUCAUAAAGCAAAUUAUGAGUCUUCAUAUAUCGGAAACCCACAUGUGAUGUAUAUACAUUAUAUAUGCAUGCAUAGAGAAUAUAAUGGGAGAAAAUGAACAAA